This 434-nucleotide ribosomal RNA is filed under the name uncultured bacterium. RNAcentral describes it as "partial 16S ribosomal RNA". It matches the Rfam family "Bacterial small subunit ribosomal RNA", at positions 29 to 507 of the family's 1533-position model. The record is from RNAcentral.
AGCGAACGCUGGCGGCAGGCCUAACACAUGCAAGUCGAACGAACCUUUCGGGGUUAGUGGCGGACGGGUGAGUAACACGUGGGAACGUGCCCUUAGGUUCGGAAUAACUCAGGGAAACUUGUGCUAAUACCGAAUGUGCCCUUCGGGGGAAAGAUUUAUCGCCUUUAGAGCGGCCCGCGUUUGAUUAGCUAGUUGGUUGAGGUAAUGGCUCACCAAGGCGACGACCAGUAGCUGGUCUGAGAGGAUGAUCAGCCACAUUGGGACUGAGACACGGCCCAAACUCCUACGGGAGGCAGCAGUGGGGAAUCUUGCGCAAUGGGCGAAAGCCUGACGCAGCCAUGCCGCGUGAAUGAUGAAGGUCUUAGGAUUGUAAAAUUCUUUCACCGGGGACGAUAAUGACGGUACCCGGAGAAGAAGCCCCGGCUAACUUCGUG